This 256-nucleotide ribosomal RNA is filed under the name uncultured bacterium. Its description in RNAcentral is "partial 16S ribosomal RNA". It matches the Rfam family "Bacterial small subunit ribosomal RNA", at positions 521 to 776 of the family's 1533-position model. The record is from RNAcentral.
UGAUACGUAGGGUGCGAGCGUUGUCCGGAUUUAUUGGGCGUAAAGAGCUUGUAGGCGGUUUGUCGCGUCGGGAGUGAAAACUCAGGGCUUAACCCUGAGCCUGCUUCCGAUACGGGCAGACUUGAGGAAGGUAGGGGAGAAUGGAAUUCCUGGUGAAGCGGUGGAAUGCGUAGAUAUCAGGAGGAACACCAGUGGCGAAGGCGGUUCUCUGGACCUUUCCUGACGCUGAGAAGCGAAAGCGUGGGGAGCAAACAGG